UGGGGAAUUUUGGACAAUGGGCGAAAGCCUGAUCCAGCAAUGCCGCGUGUGUGAAGAAGGCCUUCGGGUUGUAAAGCACUUUUGUCCGGAAAGAAAUCCUUGGCUCUAAUACAGUCGGGGGAUGACGGUACCGGAAGAAUAAGCACCGGCUAACUACGUGCCAGCAGCCGCGGUAAUACGUAGGGUGCAAGCGUUAAUCGGAAUUACUGGGCGUAAAGCGUGCGCAGGCGGUUUGCUAAGACCGAUGUGAAAUCCCCGGGCUCAACCUGGGAACUGCAUUGGUGACUGGCAGGCUAGAGUAUGGCAGAGGGGGUAGAAUUCCACGUGUAGCAGUGAAAUGCGUAGAGAUGUGGAGGAAUACCGAUGGCGAAGGCAGCCCCCUGGGCCAAUACUGACGCUCAUGCACGAAAGCGUGGGGAGCAAACAGGAUUAGAUACCCUGGUAGUCCACGCCCUAAACGAUGUCAACUAGUUGUGGGAUUCAUUCCUUAGUAACGUAGCUAACGCGUGAAGUUGACCGCCU
RNAcentral lists this ribosomal RNA (522 nucleotides) under uncultured bacterium. Its description in RNAcentral is "partial 16S ribosomal RNA". It matches the Rfam family "Bacterial small subunit ribosomal RNA", at positions 355 to 874 of the family's 1533-position model. The record is from RNAcentral.